CACGUAGUUAGCCGGUGCUUUUUCUGCAGGUACCGUCACUUUCGCUUCUUCCCUGCUAAAAGAGGUUUACAACCCGAAGGCCGUCAUCCCUCACGCGGCGUUGCUGCAUCAGGCUUUCGCCCAUUGUGCAAUAUUCCCCACUGCUGCCUCCCGUAGGAGUCUGGGCCGUGUCUCAGUCCCAGUGUGGCCGGUCACCCUCUCAGGCCGGCUACCCGUCGACGCCUUGGUGAGCCAUUACCUCACCAACAAGCUGAUAGGCCGCGAGCCCAUCCCCAACCAAAAUUCUUUCCAGUAACUGACCAUGCGGUCGCUACUCGUAUCCAGUAUUAGACGCCGUUUCCAGCGCUUAUCCCAGAGUCAGGGGCAGGUUGCUCACGUGUUACUCACCCGUUCGCCACUGAUCCACCCAGCAAGCUGGGCUUCACCGUUCGACUUGCAUGUGUUAAGCACGCCGCCAGCGUUCAUCCUGAGCCAGGAUCAAACUCU
Molecule: ribosomal RNA, 486 nt
Filed under: uncultured Microbacterium sp.
Lineage: Bacteria; Bacillati; Actinomycetota; Actinomycetes; Micrococcales; Microbacteriaceae
Description: partial 16S ribosomal RNA
Source: RNAcentral